Molecule: unclassified non-coding RNA, 1890 nt
Filed under: Patiria miniata (bat star)
Lineage: Eukaryota; Metazoa; Echinodermata; Asteroidea; Valvatida; Asterinidae
Description: uncharacterized LOC119736808, transcript variant X1
Source: RNAcentral
AUUCUAGAUUUUGGAAUCCAGGUACUCAGGCAACCGAUGCGUUCACCCAAGAUUGGGCAGGGGAAAAUAACUGGUUGGUUCCCCCGAUACAUUUGAUUCCAAGAGUCAUACAUCAGUUAAUAGCCAACAGAGCUGAGGGGACAUUGAUAUGCCCUGCCUGGAGAUCAUCCCCUUACUGGGUGUUAUUAUUCCCAGAUGGUUUCAAUGAAAGAUCAGAAAUCACAAGUAUCCAUGAAUUUCUAAUCUUCAACAGUGAUAACUGGAGACACCGUUUCGAGAGGAGCGCCAACAAUCAAGACCUGAGUUCUCUCGCCAACCAGCUGCCCUCCAUAUUGGUGAGCUCAAGAGCUUCAAGCACGGUAACUCAAUACAACUCAUCCUUUACCAGAUGGCAUCAAUGGGCACUGUCACAUGACGAGUCUCCCCUUCCUGGUGAUCCAUAUAUAAUAUCAUUAUAUUUGGUUCACAUCAGCAACUCAGCAGCGUCACCAUCACCAAUUAUCAGUGCUUCAUCAGCAAUUUCCUGGGCACAUCGCAUGGCCAGUUUGGACGACCCCAUGAAGGAUCCAUUGACUGUUCAAGUCAUAGAGGGACUCAAACGAACACUCGCUAAACCAAGGGCAAGAAAAGAGCCGAUAACACCUCAGAUCCUAGUACAGAUGGUACAAUUGCAAGGAGCUGACAGAUCAGUACAUAACCUAAUGAACAUUAGAACUUUGGCUAUGGCUUUAAUAUCUUUUGCAGGUUUCUUAAGAUUUAAUGAGUUAGCCUCGCUUAAGAUGCAAGAUUUAAUGUUCCAUCAUGACCAUUUGUCAAUCCGGAUUCAGUCAAGUAAGACAGACGUGUACAGACAGGGCAGUGAAGUUAUUAUUGCUAGAUCAUUUUCUCAGACUUGUCCAGUAGCCAUGUUAGAGCUUUAUAUUAAUCUUGCAGAGAUUUCCAGUGGUGAUAAAGAGGCUUUUGUGUUCAGGAACUUAACAAAAGUUAAAAAUGGUUAUUCCCUGCGCAAAAACAAUCAGCCCAUGUCAUAUUCCAGAGUUAGAGAGCUAGUUUUGAAAGCAAUUUCUCCAGUAGUUGCAGAUGUUUCCAAAUUUUCUUUACAUAGUUUAAGAUCAGGUGGAGCCUCAGAGGCUGCUAAGGCUGGUGUAGCCGACAGAUUGUUUAAACGCCAUGGGCGUUGGAAGUCGGAGACGGCUAAAGAUGGUUAUGUCCAAGAGAGCUUUUCUAACUUAUUAUCUGUUUCUCAGCGGUUAGGUAUCUAACAUCCACCCGUUCUUUAUUUAUUCAAGCCGAUUGCUGCAGCUCGCACAAUCCCAAAUUAAUGAGUAUAGUGUGUUUUGUUUGUGUAUGAUGAUUUAAAUGAUAAAUGUUGAUGUAUUCGGUUGAGUCCAGAAUGAAUUAGAAUGCAUCGAAUUUAUCAUUGAUAUGCUAAUGAUUGUAUGGUUCGAUGGUCAGAGCGGGAAUUUUGAAUAGGUAGUGGUAUGUGAUGCUAGCGGAGAAACGCGUCACUUCACGCUUGCUAGCAGCAACGCAACACACGUUAUUUAUUUAAUUAUAUGCUAUUGUAAUGGCUAAAGUAAUUCUAUCUUAAAAUACGUUGUUUUAAGAACCUCCCAUUAUCAUUGCUUAGCUAGCCUGAGAGCGGUGGUCAGCAUAGGUCAGGGCAUACGUUUCCACUUUUUCCAAAAAGGUUUGUGGUUUUUCGUAUCUGGCGAUCACCAAAAGCAAUGGGUCGAAUUCACAGUUUGUGAUUAAUACUUAAUAUGUUGAUAUAUAUCUCGAUGUAUAUCGUGCAAAGUUAUCAUUAAUAAUGAUGUGUAAUUUGAGAAGUCGAUGAAACAGUGUAAGCUAAUUAAAAGUAUUGGUUGCUGCAGCUCGCACAAUCCCAAA